UGUUUUGGAACGUAAAACUACCGUAGUUGAAAUUAUGGAUGGUGAUCACUGUAACCAUUGUUUGAUUAAAGGACGUCGCAUUUGGGUUGAAGACACUACUGAAAUCGAUGUUCUCUAGUCCUUGAGGCUGUAAUGUAAUUUCUGGGUCUCUGAGCUUGAAGAUGGUGAGUGCUAAACUGGUGAUGACUGCGGCAACAAUUAUUAAGAAAAUUAUUAUCAGUAGACACCAUAU
RNAcentral lists this long non-coding RNA (232 nucleotides) under Carica papaya (papaya). Its description in RNAcentral is "long non-coding RNA (CPAP_LNC012010)". The record is from RNAcentral. Lineage: Eukaryota; Viridiplantae; Streptophyta; Magnoliopsida; Brassicales; Caricaceae.